This 303-nucleotide ribosomal RNA is filed under the name Triticum aestivum (bread wheat). Its description in RNAcentral is "partial small subunit ribosomal RNA". Lineage: Eukaryota; Viridiplantae; Streptophyta; Magnoliopsida; Poales; Poaceae. The record is from RNAcentral.
AUGAGCUACCAUCAAGAUUAUGUCUCGACAAUGAAGAUUUUUUUUACCGAACUCACAGAAGUAGAUUGUGUAUCCCAUGCAACGUUCAACCUAAUGGACAUCGAGGGAACCACUUUGAGUACGCAAUUGUUUGUGUGGAGGAAAAUGCAUGGUACUAAAGCUAACCUUCCUCUGGUCCAGAUGAAAUCAAGGCAACUGGGUCUUCUAUCUUCAAGCAUCAAUUUGUUAGUUUUUCUUGGCUUCAGUGCAUCCCCUCAUAUUACUGUUUUUAAACUACAUUGCAGUGUGCUAAUUAUUUUCUAA